AGAGUUUGAUCCUGGCUCAGGAUGAACGCUGGCGGUAUGCCUAACACAUGCAAGUCGAACGAAAGUUUUUAACUUUAGUGGCGAACGGGUGCGUAACACGUGAGAAUCUGCCCUUGGGAGGAGGAUGUUGUUUAUUUUAACAUAACACUCCAUAUGUCGAGAGAUAAAAUAUUUAUUGCCUAAGGAUGAGCUCACGCCUGAUUAGCUAGUUGGUGAGGUAAUAGCUCACCAAGGCCACGAUCAGUAGCUGGUUUGAGAGAAUGAUCAGCCACACUGGGACUGAGACACGGCCCAGACUCCUCUAGGAGGCAGCAGUGAGGAAUCUUCCGCAAUGGGCGAAAGCCUGACGGAGCAAUACCGCGUGAAGGAUGAAGGAUUUUGGUCUGUAAACUUCUUUUUUCAAGAAAGAAAUUUUGACGGUACUUGAAGAAUAAGCAUCGGCUAACUCCGUGCCAGCAGCCGCGGUAAUACGGGGGAUGCAAGCGUUAUCCGGAAUCAUUGGGUGUAAAGCGCCUGUAGGUUGUUUGAUAAGUCUGUUGUUAAAGCCUAGGGCUUAACCCUAGAAAAGCGAUGGAAACUACCAGACUAGAGUAUGGAAGGGGUAGAGGGAAUUUCUAGUGUAGCGGUGAAAUGCGUAGAUACUAGAAAGAACACCAGAGGCGAAAGCGCUCUACUGGGCCAGUACUGACACUCAGAGGCGAAAGCUAGGGUAGCAAAAGGGAUUAGAUACCCCUGUAGUCCUAGCCGUAAACGAUGGAUACUAGAUGUUGUGGGUUACUUACAACAGAUGUUGUAGAUUAACAUGCAGUGACGAAGCUAACGCGUUAAGUAUCCCACCUGGGGAGUACGCUCGCAAGGGUGAAAC
RNAcentral lists this ribosomal RNA (865 nucleotides) under marine metagenome. RNAcentral's name for it is "bacterial SSU rRNA". It matches the Rfam family "Bacterial small subunit ribosomal RNA", at positions 8 to 900 of the family's 1533-position model. The record is from RNAcentral.